UAGGGAAUCUUCCACAAUGGACGCAAGUCUGAUGGAGCAACGCCGCGUGAGUGAAGAAGGUCUUCGGAUCGUAAAGCUCUGUUGUUGGUGAAGAAGGAUAGAGGCAGUAACUGGUCUUUAUUUGACGGUAAUCAACCAGAAAGUCACGGCUAACUACGUGCCAGCAGCCGCGGUAAUACGUAGGUGGCAAGCGUUGUCCGGAUUUAUUGGGCGUAAAGCGAGCGCAGGCGGAAUGAUAAGUCUGAUGUGAAAGCCCACGGCUCAACCGUGGAACUGCAUCGGAAACUGUCAUUCUUGAGUGCAGAAGAGGAGAGUGGAACUCCAUGUGUAGCGGUGGAAUGCGUAGAUAUAUGGAAGAACACCAGUGGCGAAGGCGGCUCUCUGGUCUGCAACUGACGCUGAGGCUCGAAAGCAUGGGUAGCGAACAGGAUUAGAUACCCUGGUAGUCCAUGCCGUAAACGAUGAGCGCUAGGUGUUGGGGCACUUUCCGGUCCUCAGUGUCGCAGCAAAUCGCAUUAAGCGCUCCGCCUGGGGAGUACGACCGCAAGGUUGAAACGUCUAAAGUGAAUUGAC
Molecule: ribosomal RNA, 573 nt
Filed under: uncultured bacterium
Lineage: Bacteria
Description: partial 16S ribosomal RNA
Rfam family: Bacterial small subunit ribosomal RNA
Source: RNAcentral